Molecule: ribosomal RNA, 410 nt
Filed under: uncultured microorganism
Description: bacterial SSU rRNA
Rfam family: Bacterial small subunit ribosomal RNA
Source: RNAcentral
CAGCCGCCGCGGUAAUACGUAGGGUGCGAGCGUUAAUCGGAUUUACUGGGCGUAAAGCGUGCGCAGGCGGUCCGUUAAGACAGGUGUGAAAUCCCUGGGCUCAACCUAGGAAUUGCGCUUGUGACUGGCGGGCUCGAGUACGGUAGAGGGGGGUGGAAUUCCUGGUGUAGCAGUGAAAUGCGUAGAGAUCAGGAGGAACACCGAUGGCGAAGGCAGCCCCCUGGGCCUGUACUGACGCUCAUGCACGAAAGCGUGGGGAGCAAACAGGAUUAGAUACCCUGGUAGUCCACGCCCUAAACGAUGGGUACUAGCCGUUUGGUGCGCGAUAGCGCUGAGUGGCGAAGCUAACGCGAGAAGUACCCCGCCUGGGGAGUACGGCCGCAAGGUUGAAACUUAAAGGAAUUGGCGGG